Molecule: long non-coding RNA, 1894 nt
Filed under: Pogona vitticeps (central bearded dragon)
Lineage: Eukaryota; Metazoa; Chordata; Lepidosauria; Squamata; Agamidae
Description: lncRNA (ENSPVIG00000004030.1)
Source: RNAcentral
CAAUCUAUACAGGCACUGGAAUUGAGCAGAGUAAUUAUAAUAAACAGUUAAGAAACACCAUUCCAUUUUAGACUAUGAGAUGCCAUGGUUUUUUACUAAAAUCACUUGAGUCAUACAACAGAAAAGCAGGAGAGACGUUCGAGACAAAACAAGAUCGUUCAUCAUCGCUGGAGGGGAAGAGAGAUUUUACAGCCAGCUUUAAAAUUAAUCCCAAAUGAGAGAGUCGCCUUCCAAACGAAUUGAAAAUUGGCAGGUCACCUCUCUCCGCGAAGGGACUGUUUCUGUCUACCCACAGCGGAGGGCGCUAGGACCCGGCGCAGAGGCAAGAGGUCGAAAGCAGAGAAGACAAUAAUUUGUUCCAUUGUAAUGAGAACUGUAAGUGUUGGCAAAGGGGAGUUUUUCACAGGCCGCCCUUCUUUCACUAACGAUUUUCAGUGCCUCCUGUUAGCCAACCCGGACGAUUUGUUCAGUUAUUGCAACGGUCAACAGAUCUGAUCUUGCCAAACUCCCCACCCCCCACCCUGAAAAACCCAACCCACCAAGAGUUUAAAUUAAAAAUAUAAGGGAAGGCAAAGCCCAACUCAUCAUCAGCCUAUACAGGAGCAGGAGGGGUUCUGGAGUUGACUGCAUGCAGGAAAUUUCUCACAUCCUGAGUUUUCCCUGCCUGCCUGCUCGCUCGCUCGCUCUGUAACUCAGUGUUCAUGGGGCUGUCCUCCAGUCCCAGCUGAUGAAAAGUUGGGUCUCUCAGCCGGGGCUAAGAUGUCCAAGCCUGCCCGGGCAGAGCAGCAAGGCAAGCCUCCUGCUGUCCACCCUGCAAGCCCGCUCUUCUUCCUACGCCUCAGCCUGACCUGCCUCUUACUCGCCCCCUCUGCCCAGGCUCAAGGGGAUGAAAAAAGUAAAUUGGAAUUCUCUAGGCAAGGGACUUCAACCAACCAACCCGAGCAUUAUGGAAUAGUGAUCCCUUAUUUCCUGAUUGGUAAACAAUGGAAGCCAAUGAAGGAUUUUUAUUUACAGACUCACCCAGCAGAGCUGAAAUGUCUUGUACAGGCUGGAAGUGAGGAACUUGUCAUCAUCCUGGAGAGAAAUGAGUAAGUAGCUCUAAUUUGUAUUCCUUGCAGUCUAGUGGUGUUAGUAAGUAGAUUACAGAGUUUAAAUUGAUGGGUUAGGUUUGUAAUGUAUGGGGAACUAUGGCUCAAUCUCUUAUCUAGCUGUAGAAAAAUAGACUCAUAUAAACUUAUUUCUAAGAAAUUGUUCCCUCUUCUUUAAAAUAAGAUGAUUCUGUGAAAGUACAUGUAUAAUACAAAUAUUUGUUUUGGAAUUUCUUUAUGCAUUCUUUGCUUCUCCUUCCCUCACUGUAUAACAGACAAUUCCAUUUUCUUGAACCCAUUGCUCUCCUUAUUGCUUUCUUUUGAUGCCACUAGGGAUGGAUUUGUUUUUUUUUUUAAUGUUAUUUUAUUGUAUUGUAUUUUGCUUCUUGGGCUAUCAGAAGAUCAGAAGGGGCAUCAAGGCUUCUUCAUUUAACAGAAGUGAGUGAGAAAUGAACUGGAGACACACACUGGGUCAGAAACAGGCCAGUCUAAGCAGUGACAUCUAGAAAUGGAAUUUUUGGAUGUUAUGGACUACAGAUACCAUAACAGCCAAUUUGGGGAGUUCUUCCUAUCAUAUAGACAUGUUAUAAAUACCUCAGUGCUAUGCACCUGGCAGACAGGCCUAAAUUAGAGGACUUUGAGAUAUAGUGAGGUCAAACUCUGCCCGAGUGUCCUGCUCAGAAAGAAAGCUCCCAGCUGGCACUGGGCCAGGAAUAGGAUAUUUGGGCGGAUCUUGACUCUGCGCUCCUUGAAAGAAAGGUCAGACAUGUGUGAAAUAAAUAAAUAAUAAGACAAAUGUAUGUACA